UGCGCAGGCGGAUUGUUAAGCAAGACGUGAAAUCCCCGGGCUUAACCUGGGAAUGGCGUUUUGAACUGGCAGUCUAGAGUGCGUCAGAGGGGGGUGGAAUUCCACGUGUAGCAGUGAAAUGCGUAGAGAUGUGGAGGAACACCGAUGGCGAAGGCAGCCCCCUGGGAUGACACUGACGCUCAUGUACGAAAGCGUGGGUAGCAAACA
This 207-nucleotide ribosomal RNA is filed under the name uncultured Thiobacillus sp. RNAcentral's name for it is "partial 16S ribosomal RNA". It matches the Rfam family "Bacterial small subunit ribosomal RNA", at positions 568 to 774 of the family's 1533-position model. The record is from RNAcentral. Lineage: Bacteria; Pseudomonadati; Pseudomonadota; Betaproteobacteria; Nitrosomonadales; Thiobacillaceae.